Molecule: long non-coding RNA, 309 nt
Filed under: Mytilus galloprovincialis (Mediterranean mussel)
Lineage: Eukaryota; Metazoa; Mollusca; Bivalvia; Mytilida; Mytilidae
Source: RNAcentral
GCGCAUUUUAUGAAAAAAAAAUCUGGUGAUUACAAUUCAUUAUUGUCGAAAGAAAUAACAAAUAUUUGUUUUUCCAUCUUGUUUACUUUUAUUGGGUUUCUCAGACUGCACCUUACCAGACCAAAAUUGGAAUUCACCUUGAACUCGUUCUUCAAAGGAAUUAUUAAUAAAGGUACUGAUUGUUUAUUUUACGACAUGUUGUGGUUAAACGGCGUCACAUGUCACCAAAUGGAUUUAUCUAUAACUUUGCAAAGCACAUACAAAGUUUACGUCUCCACGUUUUCUUUUUAACGAUGGCCCUGAAAAAAU